RNAcentral lists this unclassified non-coding RNA (208 nucleotides) under Hevea brasiliensis (rubber tree). Lineage: Eukaryota; Viridiplantae; Streptophyta; Magnoliopsida; Malpighiales; Euphorbiaceae. The record is from RNAcentral.
AAAGGCGAACUCAGAAAACGUUGAAUCAGCUUAUGCAGGAUCAAGAAAGGGAGAGAGAAGCUGUUGAGGAAGAAGUGGAGUGACGAGUUUAUAACCUUUUGUAGCUUGUUGGAACAGAACACCUGUUUCACAGAUGGGCAAUAUUGUACAUUGAAUUUAGAUGCGAUAUCUUUUUAAUAUGAAGUAGUGAACAGAUUUAAAAACAAAA